This 497-nucleotide ribosomal RNA is filed under the name uncultured bacterium. Its description in RNAcentral is "partial 16S ribosomal RNA". It matches the Rfam family "Bacterial small subunit ribosomal RNA", at positions 28 to 507 of the family's 1533-position model. The record is from RNAcentral.
GAUGAACGCUGGCGGCGUGCCUAAUACAUGCAAGUCGAGCGAACGGACGAGAAGCUUGCUUCUCUGAUGUUAGCGGCGGACGGGUGAGUAACACGUGGAUAACCUACCUAUAAGACUGGGAUAACUUCGGGAAACCGGAGCUAAUACCGGAUAAUAUUUUGAACCGCAUGGUUCAAAAGUGAAAGACGGUCUUGCUGUCACUUAUAGAUGGAUCCGCGCUGCAUUAGCUAGUUGGUAAGGUAACGGCUUACCAAGGCAACGAUGCAUAGCCGACCUGAGAGGGUGAUCGGCCCCACUGGACCUGAGACACGGUCCAGACUCCUCCGGGAGGCAGCAGUAGGGAAUCUUGCGCAAUGGGCGAAAGCCUGCCGGAGCAACGCCGCGUGAGUGAUGAAGGUCUUCGGAUCGUAAAACUCUGUUAUUAGGGAAGAACAUAUGUGUAAGUAACUGUGCACAUCUUGACGGUACCUAAUCAGAAAGCCACGGCUAACUACGUG